GCCCCAGCCCCGCUCCAUCCUCUUCCUCGCCCCUCGGGCCGCUUCUCCCCCCGCCCCGAGCCCGGCCGCCACCUCUGCCGCCAGCCAGCGGGAACGCUCGCCCCAUUCCCCGGCGAGAGCAAAGAUAUACAAAGCUCCGAGCCGCUGCUACAUUCAAAUAAUCAAGCCGUCAGCGAGGAGCGGGGAUGUGGGUUUAUCUGCAUCUUCCUUCUCUGCCUCUCGCUCUCUUUUUAAUGUAUUAUUUUGAGGGUAAAGUUGAAUAGGUCAGCGCAGGGUAAACAGCCUCCCUGUCGCAUUCUGCAGUCUGAAGAGAACCAGAUUGGCGAGGCGGAUUUUUGAUAAGACUUGGAAUAAAUGGCAUGGUUUAGAUCUCCUCUGCCCACCCUCCUCCUCUCCCCCCCACUCCCCUCUUGCCCUCCCCCCCAUCCCUUCUCCCUUUUCUGCCUCUCGGUCAUUUCUUUCGCUUUUCGCGGAAGUUUCAGCAAAUCGGCUAUUGCUGCGCGCCCUGGCAGGGCAGAGCCCGGCGCGGUGACGCCGGAGCCCUCUGAAAGUUGGCGGUGAGGAGAAAACACUUGGGCGAAACAUCCGUGCGGCAGCAGAGAGGAGGAGGAGGAAGAGGAGGAGGAGGAGGAGGGAGAGAGAAAAUCGAGAGCAACACCUAAGGAAGAGCGAGAAGUUGCUGCAGGAUCUGGACACUGCCGAGAUGGCUGCUCCCAGCUCCAUUCCCAGCACUGCAGAUAAACCCGGCUGCGCUGCCUGCCCCCUCCUCCGAACGCCAGGCCCUGCCGAAAAGCCGCAGCCCCGAGGAAAGCGGCGUCGGGGAGGACGGGCAGCAACCCCGGCGGCUGGUGCCCCCCGCGGGGGCUCGGCCCCUGCUCAAAAAUAACCGGGAUGCGGGGAAAAUCCACUGACGGCGCGAGGAGACUCGCUGCACUUUGCAACGCCUUUUCCCUCCGCCUGCGGGGAGCCAGGCUGGCAUUUACUGCCCAGAGGUGCUGGCGCUGGUUAAGCAGAAUAAGCCCUGCAGGCUUAUCCCAAAAUGAAAAAUAAGUGUCUUCCGCACGCCGGAUCCCCCCAGCUGUGCCCUGUCACCUCCCCGGGCCCCAGGCAGCGGGGACGGGGGGCACUGCCAUCACCCCUGCCCAGCUCCGGACCAGCCAGCCUGCUCCGAGCCUGGGCUGGGAACCAUCCGCCUUCCGCCUUUAGCUGGAGCCCCAAACCGCCCUGCUUAAACGGGCCGGACGCUGCUGGUCGUUCGGAUUUUGGGCCGGCAAACACAGCCCAGUGUGGGUAAAAUCCACGCAACACGGGCGAUACUAUACAUGUGCAUAUAUACAUAUUUAUAUGAAUGUGUAUGAGUAUGCAUGCACAUAUAUAUGAGUGCGGGUGCACACACACGCACAGUUUACAAAUAUACAUAUACUCACGAUGUCUUUUCCUUGCUGAAGCGUUUACGCGUAUUUUAUAUACGCAGACUGAAUAUGUAACACAUGCGUGAGUAUAAAGGCGUAUAGGUGUGUGUGAACAUGCAUGUCUGUUUAUAUGCGGGUGUAUAUACACAGUCACACACACACAUCACAAAUAAUGUAUGUGGGGAUAUCUGCAGAUAAUUAAAUCGUUAUGCACAACAGCC
This is a long non-coding RNA of Dromaius novaehollandiae (emu), 1633 nucleotides long. RefSeq lists it as uncharacterized. The record is from RefSeq and is a predicted model, not a curated record. The transcript has 3 exons. NCBI's taxonomy places the organism in Eukaryota, Metazoa, Chordata, Aves, Casuariiformes, Dromaiidae.